AGGGUUCGAUUAUGGCUCAGGAUGAACGCUAGCGGCAGGCUUAACACAUGCAAGUCGAACGGUAACAGAAAGAGCUUGCUCUUUGCUGACGAGUGGCGAACGGGUGCGUAACACGUAUGCAACUUACCCUAUACUGGGGGAUAGCCCAGAGAAAUUUGGAUUAAUACCCUAUAAUAUCACGAGAAGGCAUCUUCUGAAUUUUAAAACUCCGGUGGUUAAGGAUGGGCAUGCGUCCCAUUAGUUAGUUGGUGAGGUAACGGCUCACCAAGACCACGAUGGGUAGGGGGUCUGAGAGGAUGAUCCCCCACACUGGUACUGAGACACGGACCAGACUCCUACGGGAGGCAGCAGUGAGGAAUAUUGGACAAUGGAGGCAACUCUGACCCAGCCAUGCCGCGUGAAGGAAGACUGCCUUAUGGGUUGUAAACUUCUUUUAUACAGGAAGAAACACUGGUAUGUAUACCAGCUUGACGGUACUAUAAGAAUAAGGACCGGCUAACUCCUUGCCAGCAGCCGCGGUAAUACGGAGGGUCCGAGCGUUAUCCGGAUUCAUUGGGUUUAAAGGGUGCGUAGGCGGAUAAAUAAGUCAGUGGUGAAAGCCCACAGCUCAACUGUGGAACUGCCAUUGAUACUGGAAUUCUUGAGUAUAGUUGAGGUUGGCGGAAUGUGUUGUGUAGCGGUGAAAUGCUUAGAGAUGACACAGAACACCGAUUGCGAAGGCAGCUGACUAAACUAUAACUGACGCUGAUGCACGAAAGCGUGGGGAUCGAACAGGAUUAGAUACCCUGGUAGUCCACGCCGUAAACGAUGAUUACUCGUUGUUCGCGAUACAUUGCGAGUGACUGAGCGAAAGCAUUAAGUAAUCCACCUGGGGAGUACGAUCGCAAGAUUGAAACUCAAAGGAAUUGACGGGGGCCCGCACAAGCGGAGGAACAUGUGGUUUAAUUCGAUGAUACGCGAGGAACCUUACCUGGGCUUAAAUGUAGAUUGACAGGACUGGAAACGGUUUUUUCUUCGGACAAUUUACAAGGUGCUGCAUGGUUGUCGUCAGCUCGUGCCGUGAGGUGUCGGGUUAAGUCCCAUAACGAGCGCAACCCCUAUUCUUAGUUGCCAGCACAUAAUGGUGGGGACUCUAAGAAAACUGCCCGCGUAAGCGGUGAGGAAGGUGGGGAUGACGUCAAAUCAUCACGGCCCUUACGUCCUGGGCUACACACGUGCUACAAUGGCGCAUACAAAGGGCAGCUACCUGGUGACAGGAUGCUAAUCUCUAAAGUAUGUCUCAGUUCGGAUUGAAGUCUGCAACUCGACUUCAUGAAGCUGGAAUCGCUAGUAAUCGCGCAUCAGCCAUGGCGCGGUGAAUACGUUCCCGGGCCUUGUACACACCGCCCGUCAAGCCAUGGAAGCUGGGGGUACCUGAAGUCCGUUACCGCAAGGAGCUGCCUAGGGUAAAACUAGUAACUGGGGCUAAGUCGUAACAAGGUAACC
This 1485-nucleotide ribosomal RNA is filed under the name uncultured prokaryote. RNAcentral describes it as "partial 16S ribosomal RNA". It matches the Rfam family "Bacterial small subunit ribosomal RNA". The record is from RNAcentral.